RNAcentral lists this unclassified non-coding RNA (598 nucleotides) under Hevea brasiliensis (rubber tree). The record is from RNAcentral. Lineage: Eukaryota; Viridiplantae; Streptophyta; Magnoliopsida; Malpighiales; Euphorbiaceae.
GGUAAAGGCUAGAGUUUUAGAUAUUCCACUUCAUGGGAUUGGUUUUGAGUUUGUAGAAAUCACACCCCACAAAAUCACUGGUCGUCUUCCUGUGACAGAUAAGUGUUGUCAGCCAUUUAAGGUGCUGCACGGUGGAGUUUCAGCUUUGAUGGCUGAGUCUCUAGCAAGUAUGGGAGCACACAUGGCUUCUGGUUUUAAGAGAGUGGCUGGAGUUCAUCUAAGCAUCCAUCAUCUCAAGAGUGCUCAUUUAGGGGACCUUGUGUUUGCUGAGGCUGUGCCAAUCAAUAUUGGCAAAAGUAUUCAUGUUUGGGAAGUUUGUCUCUGGAAGAUUGAUCCAGCUAAUGAGGAAAAAAAGACUUUGUUAGCAUCAUCAAGAGUUACUCUUAAGGUCAACAUGUCUAUACCUGAAAAUGCUAAAGAUGCUGCUGUGAAUCUCAAGAAAUAUGCUAAGUUAUGAUCAUGUUUAAUUGAGUUUGUUUGUAAGCAAAAUUGUAGAGAGUAACAAGACAAUAAUGCAGAGUUAUGCAAAACAUGUUGUAAACCCCUUUGACAUUUUCUGUCCUGACACGUUUUUAUGAAAAAGUACCCAAAAAAGAGU